GGGUCAGUAGGUUGGUCGUGCCACCGGUACGUACUGGUCUCACUGAUUCCUCCUUCCUGAAGAACCGUAAUGCCAUUAAUUUGGUGUUGCGGGGAAACAGGACUGUUACUUUGAAAAAAUUAGAGCGUUUAAAGCAAGCUAACGCUUGAAUACAUCAGCAUGGAAUAAUGAAAUAGGACGUUCGAUCCUAUUUUGUUGGUUUCUAGGAUUGACGUA
Molecule: ribosomal RNA, 216 nt
Filed under: Glomeromycotina sp.
Lineage: Eukaryota; Fungi; Glomeromycota
Description: partial small subunit ribosomal RNA
Rfam family: Eukaryotic small subunit ribosomal RNA (bases 44-216)
Source: RNAcentral